RNAcentral lists this ribosomal RNA (384 nucleotides) under uncultured bacterium. RNAcentral describes it as "bacterial SSU rRNA". It matches the Rfam family "Bacterial small subunit ribosomal RNA", at positions 28 to 417 of the family's 1533-position model. The record is from RNAcentral.
GACGAACGCUGGCGGCGUGCUUAACACAUGCAAGUCGAACGAUGAAGCCAGCUUGCUGGUGGAUUAGUGGCGAACGGGUGAGUAACACGUGGGUGAUCUGCCCUGUACUUUGGGAUAAGCCUGGGAAACUGGGUCUAAUACCGAAUAUGACCACAGAAUGCAUGUUUUGUGGUGGAAAGCUCCGGCGGUAUGGGAUGGGCCCGCGGCCUAUCAGCUUGUUGGNGGGUAAUGGCCUACCAAGCGACGACGGUAGCCGGCCUGAGAGGGCGACCGGCCACACUGGGACUGAGACACGGCCCAGACUCCUACGGGAGGCAGCAGUGGGGAAUAUUGCACAAUGGGCGCAAGCCUGAUGCAGCGACGCCGCGUGAGGGAUGACGGCCU